This 460-nucleotide ribosomal RNA is filed under the name uncultured bacterium. Its description in RNAcentral is "partial 16S ribosomal RNA". It matches the Rfam family "Bacterial small subunit ribosomal RNA", at positions 338 to 795 of the family's 1533-position model. The record is from RNAcentral.
CCUACGGGAGGCAGCAGUGAGGAAUAUUGGUCAAUGGACGAGAGUCUGAACCAGCCAAGUAGCGUGAAGGAUGACUGCCCUAUGGGUUGUAAACUUCUUUUAUAUGGGAAUAAAACGUUCCACGUGUGGGAUUUUGUAUGUACCAUAUGAAUAAGGAUCGGCUAACUCCGUGCCAGCAGCCGCGGUAAUACGGAGGAUCCGAGCGUUAUCCGGAUUUAUUGGGUUUAAAGGGAGCGUAGGUGGAUUGUUAAGUCAGUUGUGAAAGUUUGCGGCUCAACCGUAAAAUUGCAGUUGAAACUGGCAGUCUUGAGUACAGUAGAGGUGGGCGGAAUUCGUGGUGUAGCGGUGAAAUGCUUAGAUAUCACGAAGAACUCCGAUUGCGAAGGCAGUUCACUGGACUGCAACUGACAUUGAGGCUCGAAAGUGUGGGUAUCAAACAGGAUUAGAUACCCGUGUAGUC